UCUCCGUAGGUGAACCUGCGGAGGGAUCAUUACAGAGUUCUCGCCCUCACGGGUAGAUCUCCCACCCACUGUUAUCGUUACUGUCGUUUCUUUGGCGGGCCGCCGGGUCCCCGGCCGCCGGCGCCUAGCUGCCGGCGCGCGCCCGCCAGAGGCCUUCAAACUCUGAAUGUUAGUGUAGUCUGAGUACUAUAUAAUAGUUAAAACUUUCAACAACGGAUCUCUUGGUUCUG
Molecule: unclassified non-coding RNA, 230 nt
Filed under: plant metagenome
Description: partial contains small subunit ribosomal RNA, internal transcribed spacer 1, and 5.8S ribosomal RNA
Source: RNAcentral